RNAcentral lists this ribosomal RNA (1291 nucleotides) under Listeria monocytogenes. Its description in RNAcentral is "partial 23S ribosomal RNA". It matches the Rfam family "Bacterial large subunit ribosomal RNA", at positions 89 to 1375 of the family's 2925-position model. Lineage: Bacteria; Bacillati; Bacillota; Bacilli; Caryophanales; Listeriaceae. The record is from RNAcentral.
UACGUAAGCGUUGAUCCAGAGAUUUCCGAAUGGGGGAACCCACUAUCUUUAGUCGGAUAGUAUCCUUACGUGAAUACAUAGCGUGAGGAAGGCAGACCCAGGGAACUGAAACAUCUAAGUACCUGGAGGAAGAGAAAGAAAAAUCGAUUUCCUGAGUAGCGGCGAGCGAAACGGAAAGAGCCCAAACCAAGAAGCUUGCUUCUUGGGGUUGUAGGACACUCUAUACGGAGUUACAAAAGAAAGUUAUAAAUGAAGCGGUCUGGAAAGGCCCGCCAAAGACGGUAACAGCCCGGUAGUUGAAAUGGCUUUCCCUCCAGAGUGGAUCCUGAGUACGGCGGAACACGUGAAAUUCCGUCGGAAUCCGGGAGGACCAUCUCCCAAGGCUAAAUACUCCCUAGUGACCGAUAGUGAACCAGUACCGUGAGGGAAAGGUGAAAAGCACCCCGGAAGGGGAGUGAAACAGUUCCUGAAACCGUGUGCCUACAAGUAGUUAGAGCCCGUUAAUGGGUGAUAGCGUGCCUUUUGUAGAAUGAACCGGCGAGUUACGAUUUGUUGCAAGGUUAAGCGGAAAAAGCGGAGCCGUAGCGAAAGCGAGUCUGAAUAGGGCGCAUAAGUAACAGGUCGUAGACCCGAAACCAGGUGAUCUACCCAUGUCCAGGAUGAAGGUAAGGUAAUACUUACUGGAGGUCCGAACCCACGCACGUUGAAAAGUGCGGGGAUGAGGUGUGGGUAGCGGAGAAAUUCCAAUCGAACUUGGAGAUAGCUGGUUCUCUCCGAAAUAGCUUUAGGGCUAGCCUCGAGGUAAAGAGUCAUGGAGGUAGAGCACUGUUUGGACUAGGGGCCCUUCUCGGGUUACCGAAUUCAGAUAAACUCCGAAUGCCAUGUACUUAUACUCGGGAGUCAGACUGCGAGUGAUAAGAUCCGUAGUCGAAAGGGAAACAGCCCAGACCACCAGUUAAGGUCCCCAAAUAUAUGUUAAGUGGAAAAGGAUGUGGGGUUGCUUAGACAACCAGGAUGUUGGCUUAGAAGCAGCCACCAUUGAAAGAGUGCGUAAUAGCUCACUGGUCGAGUGACCCCGCGCCGAAAAUGUACCGGGGCUAAACAUAUUACCGAAACUGUGGAUGAACCUCUUUAGAGGUUCGUGGUAGGAGAGCGUUCUAAGGGCGGUGAAGUCAGACCGGAAGGACUGGUGGAGCGCUUAGAAGUGAGAAUGCCGGUAUGAGUAGCGAAAGAAGGGUGAGAAUCCCUUCCACCGAAUAUCUAAGGUUUCCUGAGGAAGGCUCGUCCGCUC